Molecule: long non-coding RNA, 276 nt
Organism: Pelobates fuscus (common spadefoot toad)
Lineage: Eukaryota; Metazoa; Chordata; Amphibia; Anura; Pelobatidae
Exons: 3
Source: RefSeq, a predicted model, not a curated record
AGCCUGCGUCCGCCAUCUUGGUAGAGGCAGGCCAGUACAGCAUAAGAAGGUCCUAAAGAAGUCUCACAUAUACCUCCCAUUCAAAUGGUUGUUAUAGUGUGCCAUGGAGUAUACUGCCACCGAUAGGCGCCUGUUCCCACAAUACAUUUACACUAAAGGGGUAAACCAUUUUACAUCGGUUUGAUCCCAAAGUUGUUACCCUAGGACGCCCGGACGCCCUCCUCCUGUUUGAAAACCUUUGGAGUUACACCCCUGCCUCAUCUUUCAGAUAAAGUA